GACGAACGCUGGCGGCGUGCUUAACACAUGCAAGUCGAACGGAAAGGCCCUGCUUUUGUGGGGUGCUCGAGUGGCGAACGGGUGAGUAACACGUGAGUAACCUGCCCUUGACUUUGGGAUAACUUCAGGAAACUGGGGCUAAUACCGGAUAGGAGCUCCUGCUGCAUGGUGGGGGUUGGAAUGUUUCGGCGGUUGGGGAUGGACUCGCGGCUUAUCAGCUUGUUGGUGGGGUAGUGGCUUACCAAGGCUUUGACGGGUAGCCGGCCUGAGAGGGUGACCGGCCACAUUGGGACUGAGAUACGGCCCAGAAUGCUACGGGAGGCAGCAGUGGGGAAUAUUGCACAAUGGGAGGAAGACUGAUGAAGCAACGCCGCGUGAGGGAUGACGGCCUUCGGGUUGUAAACCGCUUUCGCCUGUGACGAAGCGUGAGUGACGGUAAUGGGUAAAGAAGCACCGGCUAACUACGUG
Molecule: ribosomal RNA, 468 nt
Filed under: uncultured bacterium
Lineage: Bacteria
Description: partial 16S ribosomal RNA
Rfam family: Bacterial small subunit ribosomal RNA
Source: RNAcentral